UGGCGGAUGCCUAGGCUCUCAGAGGCGAAGAAGGACGUGAUAAGCUGCGAAAAGCUUUGGGGAGGCGCACAUAGCUAUUGAUCCAAAGAUGUCCGAAUGGGGCAACCCAUCAUGCUGAAGGCAUGAUAUCCCGCAAGGGAGGCAAACCCGGAGAACUGAAACAUCUAAGUACCCGGAGGAGAAGAAAACAAAAGUGAUUCCGCUAGUAGUGGCGAGCGAACGCGG
RNAcentral lists this ribosomal RNA (225 nucleotides) under Kryptoperidinium foliaceum. RNAcentral's name for it is "partial Bacterial large subunit ribosomal RNA". It matches the Rfam family "Bacterial large subunit ribosomal RNA", at positions 22 to 262 of the family's 2925-position model. The record is from RNAcentral. Lineage: Eukaryota; Dinophyceae; Peridiniales; Kryptoperidiniaceae.